Molecule: ribosomal RNA, 497 nt
Filed under: uncultured bacterium
Lineage: Bacteria
Description: partial 16S ribosomal RNA
Rfam family: Bacterial small subunit ribosomal RNA
Source: RNAcentral
GAUGAACGCUGGCGGCGUGCCUAAUACAUGCAAGUCGAGCGAACAGACGAGGAGCUUGCUCCUCUGACGUUAGCGGCGGACGGGUGAGUAACACGUGGAUAACCUACCUAUAAGACUGGGAUAACUUCGGGAAACCGGAGCUAAUACCGGAUAAUAUAUUGAACCGCAUGGUUCAAUAGUGAAAGACGGUUUUGCUGUCACUUAUGGAUGGAUCCGCGCCGCAUUAGCUAGUUGGUAAGGUAACGGCUUACCAAGGCAACGAUGCGUAGCCGACCUGAGAGGGUGAUCGGCCACACUGGAACUGAGACACGGUCCAGACUCCUACGGGAGGCAGCAGUAGGGAAUCUUGCGCAAUGGGCGAAAGCCUGACGGAGCAACGCCGCGUGAGUGAUGAAGGUCUUCGGAUCGUAAAACUCUGUUAUUAGGGAAGAACAAAUGUGUAAGUAACUAUGCACGUCUUGACGGUACCUAAUCAGAAAGCCACGGCUAACUACGUG